GACGAACGCUGGCGGCGUGCUUAACACAUGCAAGUCGAGCGAUGAAGCCGGAGCUUGCUCUGGUGAAUUAGUGGCGAACGGGUGAGUAACACGUGAGUAACCUGCCCUUGACUCUGGGAUAACUGCGGGAAACUGUAGCUAAUACCGGAUACGACCCUCGGAGGCAUCUCCUGGGGGUGGAAAGAAUUUCGGUCAAGGAUGGACUCGCGGCCUAUCAGCUAGGUGGUGAGGUAAAGGCUCACCAAGGCGACGACGGGUAGCCGGCCUGAGAGGGUGACCGGCCACACUGGGACUGAGACACGGCCCAGACUCCUACGGGAGGCAGCAGUGGGGAAUAUUGCACAAUGGGCGCAAGCCUGAUGCAGCAACGCCGCGUGAGGGAUGACGGCCUUCGGGUUGUAAACCUCUUUUAGCAGGGAAGAAGCGAAAGUGACGGUACCUGCAGAAAAAGCACCGGCUAACUACGUGCCAGCAGCCGCAGUAA
RNAcentral lists this ribosomal RNA (484 nucleotides) under uncultured bacterium. RNAcentral describes it as "partial 16S ribosomal RNA". It matches the Rfam family "Bacterial small subunit ribosomal RNA", at positions 28 to 523 of the family's 1533-position model. The record is from RNAcentral.